GACGAACGCUGGCGGCGUGCUUAACACAUGCAAGUCGAACGAAGUGGCGAACGGGUGAGUAACGCGUAAUCAACCUGCCCUUCCGAGGGGGACAACAGUAGGAAACGACUGCUCAUACCGCAUACUGAAGGGAGGGAUGGAGUCGGAUUAGCUAGUCGGCGGGGUACCGGCCCACCAAGGCGAUGAUCAGUAGCCUGUCUGAGAGGAGUAACGGCCACAUUGGGAUGGAGACACGGCCCAGACUCCUACGGGAUGCAGCAGUGGGGAAUCUGCCGCAAUUGACGAAAGUCUGACGGAGCAACGCCGCGUGAGUGAUGACGGCCUUCGGGUUGUAAAGCUCUGUUAAUCGGGACGCGGUACCGGAAUAGAAAGCCACGGCUAACUACGUGCCAGCAGCCGCGGUAAUUC
Molecule: ribosomal RNA, 408 nt
Filed under: uncultured bacterium
Lineage: Bacteria
Description: partial 16S ribosomal RNA
Rfam family: Bacterial small subunit ribosomal RNA
Source: RNAcentral